ACGGGAGGCAGCAGUGAGGAAUAUUGGUCAAUGGACGUAAGUCUGAACUAGCCAAGUAGCGUGUGGGAUGACGGCCAUAUGGUUGUAAACCUCUUUUGCGAGGGAAUAAAGUGCGUCACGUGUGGUGCAUUGCAUGUACCUUGCGAAUAAGGAUCGGCUAACUCCGUGCCAGCAGCCGCGGUAAUACGGAGGAUCCGAGCGUUAUCCGGAUUUAUUGGGUUUAAAGGGAGCGUAGGCGGGAAGUCAAGUCAGCUGUGAAAUGUAGUCGCUCAACGUCUGCACUGCAGUUGAAACUGGUUUUCUUGAGUGCGUAAGAGGCAGGUGGAAUUUGUCGUGUAGCGGUGAGAUGCUUAGAUAUGACGAAGAACUCCGAUUGCGAAGGCAGCCUGCUGGGCCGCAACUGACGCUGAAGCUCGAAGGUGCGGGUAUCAAACAGGAUUAGAUACCCUGGUA
This 453-nucleotide ribosomal RNA is filed under the name uncultured bacterium. RNAcentral's name for it is "partial 16S ribosomal RNA". It matches the Rfam family "Bacterial small subunit ribosomal RNA", at positions 341 to 792 of the family's 1533-position model. The record is from RNAcentral.